This 491-nucleotide ribosomal RNA is filed under the name uncultured Nitzschia. Its description in RNAcentral is "bacterial SSU rRNA". It matches the Rfam family "Bacterial small subunit ribosomal RNA", at positions 360 to 863 of the family's 1533-position model. The record is from RNAcentral. Lineage: Eukaryota; Bacillariophyta; Bacillariophyceae; Bacillariales; Bacillariaceae.
AAUUUUCCGCAAUGGGCGAAAGCCUGACGGAGCAAUCUCGCGUGAGGGAUGACGGCCUAUGGGUUGUAAACCUCUUUUUUCAGGGAGGAACAAAAUGACGUGUACCUGAAGAAUAAGCAUCGGCUAACUCCGUGCCAGCAGCCGCGGUAAGACGGAGGAUGCAAGUGUUAUCCGGAAUCACUGGGCGUAAAGCGUCUGUAGGUGGUUUGAUAAGUCAACUGUUAAAUCUUGAAGCUCAACUUCAAAAUCGCAGUCGAAACUAUUAGACUUGAGUAUAGUAGGGGUAAAGGGAAUUUCCAGUGGAGCGGUGAAAUGCGUAGAGAUUGGAAAGAACACCGAUGGCGAAGGCACUUUACUGGGCUAUUACUGACACUCAGAGACGAAAGCUAGGGUAGCAAAUGGGAUUAGAUACCCCAGUAGUCCUAGCCGUAAACAAUGGAUACUAGAUGUUGAACAGAUCGACCUGUGCAGUAUUAAAGCUAACGCGUUAA